RNAcentral lists this ribosomal RNA (301 nucleotides) under uncultured bacterium. RNAcentral's name for it is "partial 16S ribosomal RNA". It matches the Rfam family "Bacterial small subunit ribosomal RNA", at positions 509 to 807 of the family's 1533-position model. The record is from RNAcentral.
CAGUCGCCGCGGUAAUACGGAGGGUGCAAGCGUUAAUCGGAAUUACUGGGCGUAAAGCGCACGCAGGCGGUCUGUCAAGUCAGAUGUGAAAUCCCCGGGCUUAACCUGGGAACUGCAUUUGAAACUGGCAGGCUAGAGUCUUGUAGAGGGGGGUAGAAUUCCAGGUGUAGCGGUGAAAUUCGUAGAUAUGCGGAGGAACACCGAUGGCGAAGGCAAUCCCCUGGACCUGUACUGACGCUCAUGCACGAAAGCGUGGGGAGCAAACAGGAUUAGAUACCCCUGUAGUCCCUGUCUCUUAUAC